This 512-nucleotide ribosomal RNA is filed under the name Salmonella enterica subsp. enterica serovar Typhimurium. RNAcentral's name for it is "partial 23S ribosomal RNA". It matches the Rfam family "Bacterial large subunit ribosomal RNA", at positions 1154 to 1639 of the family's 2925-position model. The record is from RNAcentral. Lineage: Bacteria; Pseudomonadati; Pseudomonadota; Gammaproteobacteria; Enterobacterales; Enterobacteriaceae.
CGUAUCACCCAAGACAACUUUACGGAGUUGACGAUUGACGGAGCGAAGCGACGUCAAAGCGUUCAUUAAAGUCGAGUUGGCUUAGGGAUACGUUCGUUGGGUAGGGGAGCGUUCUGUAAGCCUGUGAAGGUGUGUCGUGAGGCAUGCUGGAGGUAUCAGAAGUGCGAAUGCUGACAUAAGUAACGAUAAAGCGGGUGAAAAGCCCGCUCGCCGGAAGACCAAGGGUUCCUGUCCAACGUUAAUCGGGGCAGGGUGAGUCGACCCCUAAGGCGAGGCCGAAAGGCGUAGUCGAUGGGAAACGGGUUAAUAUUCCCGUACUUGGUGUUACUGCGAAGGGGGGACGGAGAAGGCUAUGUUGGCCGGGCGACGGUUGUCCCGGUUUAAGCGUGUAGGUGUGUGUUCCAGGUAAAUCCGGUUCACUUUAACACUGAGGCGUGACGACGAGGCACUACGGUGCUGAAGCAACAAAUGCCCUGCUUCCAGGAAAAGCCUCUAAGCAUCAGGUAACACGA